Sinocyclocheilus anshuiensis is the source of this 200-nucleotide long non-coding RNA. RefSeq lists it as uncharacterized. The transcript is spliced from 3 exons. Lineage: Eukaryota; Metazoa; Chordata; Actinopteri; Cypriniformes; Cyprinidae. The record is from RefSeq and is a predicted model, not a curated record.
GUUCAGUUUUGAGUUCGCUGGAAAAUCAUACUGAGACUGAAUACACCACUCUUGCCUUCACCUGCAUCUCUCACAGUAAGGGGACGCUCGUUCAGUUUUCAACUCCAUUCAGAAUCUUAGAAUGUGAGAAUAACAGUGUAAAAAAACCUGUUGCAAAGAGAGCCAAAGCAAAGCAGUCCACUUGGUCAUGGAAACCAGAG